RNAcentral lists this ribosomal RNA (467 nucleotides) under uncultured bacterium. Its description in RNAcentral is "partial 16S ribosomal RNA". It matches the Rfam family "Bacterial small subunit ribosomal RNA", at positions 29 to 507 of the family's 1533-position model. The record is from RNAcentral.
ACGAACGCUGGCGGCGUGCUUCACACCUGCAAGUCGCACGGAAAGGCCCUGCUUUUGUGGGGUGCUCAAGUGGCGAACGGGUGAGUAACACGUGAGUAACCUGCCCUUGACUUUGGGAUAACUUCAGGAAACUGGGGCUAAUACCGGAUAGGAGCUCCUGCUGCAUGGUGGGGGUUGGAAAGUUUCGGCGGUUGGGGAUGGACUCGCGGCUUAUCAGCUUGUUGGUGGGGUAGUGGCUUACCAAGGCUUUGACGGGUAGCCGGCCUGAGAGGGUGACCGGCCACAUUGGGACUGAGAUACGGCUCAGACUCCUACGGGAGGCAGCAGUGGGGAAUAUUGCACAAUGGGCGGAAGCCUGAUGCAGCAACGCCGCGUGCGGGAUGACGGCCUUCGGGUUGUAAACCGCUUUCGCCUGUGACGAAGCGUGAGUGACGGUAAUGGGUAAAGAAGCACCGGCUAACUACGUG